UUCAGCCAUCUAACCUCUAUAUAUAGAUGCACUUUCACAUGUCUUAUGAGUACAAUGCUACUGCUGCCAACCUCGUCCACAGCUAAAUCUCUCCCGUCGCACUCCCUGCACCAUCACAGAAACACCAUGCAGCCGUAGAAAACCAUAGACCCACGAUGCCGCGACCAAAAGCCUUCUGCCGCUGCACCUGGACUGACCGAAAGAAGAGGGAGCAAAGACACGGUUCACUACACAUUCAACGUUGCGCCACCAUCACCUCGGUGUAGUCCAUUGCUCAGCCCACUUGAACCCAUGUUCCCUCCUUGGACAGCCACUGUUUCUCACCGGAAACUCAGGCUGUUUUGUUCCCUUUCUCCCACACCGAAGCAGAGUAGUUUUCUUUUCUGCUUGCCGCCUGUUCGACCCAGCCCAACAGUCCCAGCCUUGCCGCCGUGCACCACAACACAUUUUUUAGACGCUGCCUAGCCACCACAUGACCCAGCUGAACCACCCAACUCAAGCCAAGUGUCCCCUGUUUUUCCAUACCUGAAACAGAGCAUCUACCAGUUCAUUGUGAACCACUGCAACCAACCCACAACCUCUGCCCAGCCACUGUAGCAACCCACAGCUAAACCACCUCACUUAAACACCUGCCUAGACCUCACUGCCGUAGCCCAUGCCGAAACUCCCUCUGCCUCCCACUCUGUGCUCAACUCUCUCUCUCUCUCUCUCUCUCUCUCUCUCACACACACACAGGGGCCCAACACCGCCAAGCCUCCGUCGCGUUCACUUCCUUGUCGGUGGCGAUUAAUAUUUGUACGGCAUUGUUGAGGAAAUUUUUGAAAGAUUAAGAAGUUCAGAUAAUUUUGAUGGUUUAGCUGGAGAACAAGAGUAUGAAAUUUUAACAAUGUGUGAUGAUCGCAGCAGAAUAAGUGUCCGAUGGUAUAAGUGCUUAUUUGAGAGUCGCAGUUAGUAAAUUGGUUUAUUUACGGGUAUUUUGAUUUGAUGAGUUAAGAAUAUUUUUAAGUUUUUGGAAAGUUUUUAAUUUAUGUUAUUGAGAAUUUCUUUGUUGUCCCUAUGAAAAAACAUGAAUAUUUAAAUUGAGUGAAUAAAUUAAGAUUUUAUGGGGUUUUCUGAAUUUUAUAGUUGUGAUAUUGAAGUUGAUAUUAAGUAAUAAGAACUAACUCUCCGGACUUCCAGGAAUCGAGAGUUACAUACCCCGCCAAACUUCACCCAUGUUACUAUGUGAGGACCCAUGCUGCUCUGGAUGGGAGACAAAUAUGGAUUUUUUUCCAUGGCAUGUAUCUCAUGUUUAUAAUUAAUCAUGCAUAUCUUAUCUCUGUGUAAUUUGGUUGUUUAAUUUAUUGAGAUUUUAUGAAAAUCUCACCCUUGUAGACCCACUAUCAUUCCCCCCGUAAUGAUAGAAGUUAUGUUAAAACUAAUAGAGGAUGAACAUGAUGGACUGCUAG
This is a long non-coding RNA of Carya illinoinensis, 1448 nucleotides long. RefSeq lists it as uncharacterized. NCBI's taxonomy places the organism in Eukaryota, Viridiplantae, Streptophyta, Magnoliopsida, Fagales, Juglandaceae. The transcript is spliced from 3 exons. The record is from RefSeq and is a predicted model, not a curated record.